Molecule: long non-coding RNA, 704 nt
Organism: Xiphophorus maculatus (southern platyfish)
Lineage: Eukaryota; Metazoa; Chordata; Actinopteri; Cyprinodontiformes; Poeciliidae
Exons: 3
Source: RefSeq, a predicted model, not a curated record
CAGAGUUUCACUUUUAGUCUGUCAAGGAGCACAACUAACAAGUUUUGAGCUUUGAAGACAAAGGAGGAAAAGGAGGAAGUCGAACUGUGUAAGAUUGUUUUAAUGGUUGUAAGUCUGCAGUCUUCAUAAAAUAUGAUGUCCUAAAUUACAAGGAAUAUGAACUUCUGUCCAGACUGUGGAAAUCGAGUGGAUAGUUCAUAUAAAUUCUGCCCUAAUUGUGGGUUUAAGCUCUAUCUGCUAGCUCAAAACAGGAAGCAAGGUUAGUUUCUUUUAGGCAAACACUUUGUCUGAUGUUUCUGUGGUAUCUCAGUGUUAACCCUUUACCUAUUUUAUUGAUGUGGUAAAAACAAUAUAUAAAAUAUGAAUUUUAAAUCCCUUUAUGGCUUUACAGUGCCCUCUUUUGCCUUAAUUAUCUUCAAGGGAACUUUGGACAACAAUAUAGCAAUAACUGAUGGAUAUUUAACCUAGAAAGGAAUGAGAGCUUAGAUAACAAAUGGUUGUUUUUUUAAUACAAUAAUUAAAAUGAAUUCAAGACUAAACAUAAUUUGCUGUAUUAUAUAGACCUAUUUUUUUAUCCUUUUUUCUACAUGACAACUUAGAACUUAAGUAGAUUUUGUAAUGAUUUGUUGUGGUUAGGCCUGUCGCGAUAAACGAUAAAUCGAUUAAUCGUACGAUAAAUUAAAACUAUCAACGUCAUUUCAAUU